This 757-nucleotide ribosomal RNA is filed under the name uncultured bacterium. RNAcentral describes it as "bacterial SSU rRNA". It matches the Rfam family "Bacterial small subunit ribosomal RNA", at positions 8 to 796 of the family's 1533-position model. The record is from RNAcentral.
AGAGUUUGAUCCUGGCUCAGAAUCAACGCUGGCGGCGCGCCUAACACAUGCAAGUCGAACGAGAAAGUGGAGCAAUCCAUGAGUACAGUGGCGUACGGGUGAGUAACACGUGGAUCAUCUACCUCUUUGUGGGGAAUAACCCUGGGAAACCGGGGAUAAUACCGCAUAAGCCUGAGAAGGGAAAGCAGCAAUGCGCUGAGAGAGGAGUCCGCGGCCGAUUAGCUAGUUGGCAGGGUAAAAGCCUACCAAGGCAGAGAUCGGUAGCCGGCCUGAGAGGGCACACGGCCACACUGGCACUGAAACACGGGCCAGACUCCUACGGGAGGCAGCAGUGGGGAAUCUUGCACAAUGGGGGAAACCCUGAUGCAGCGACGCCGCGUGAGCGAUGAAGCCCUUCGGGGUGUAAAGCUCUUUCGGCAGGGAAGAUUAUGACGGUACCUGCAGAAGCAGCUGCGGCUAACUACGUGCCAGCAGCCGCGGUAAUACGUAGGCAGCAAGCGUUGUUCGGAGUUACUGGGCGUAAAGGGUGUGUAGGCGGUUGUUUAAGUUUGGUGUGAAAUCCCCCGGCUCAACUGGGAGGGUGCGCCGAAUACUGAAUGACUUCGAGUGCGGGAGAGGAUAGUGGAAUUCCUGGUGUAGCGGUGAAAUGCGUAGAUAUCAGGAGGAACACCGGUGGUGUAGACGGCUAUCUGGACCGUAACUGACGCUGAGACACGAAAGCGUGGGUAGCAAACAGGAUUAGAUACCCUAGUAGUCC